This 757-nucleotide ribosomal RNA is filed under the name uncultured bacterium. RNAcentral describes it as "bacterial SSU rRNA". It matches the Rfam family "Bacterial small subunit ribosomal RNA", at positions 57 to 775 of the family's 1533-position model. The record is from RNAcentral.
GCAGUCGAGCGAGUCUGCCUUGAAGAUCGGAGUGCUUGCACUCUGUGAAACAAGAUACAGGCUAGCGGCGGACGGGUGAGUAACACGUGGGUAACCUGCCUAAGAGAUCGGGAUAACACCUGGAAACAGAUGCUAAUACCGGAUAACAACAGAUGAUGCCUAUCAACUGUUUAAAAGAUGGUUCUGCUAUCACUCUUGGAUGGACCUGCGGUGCAUUAGCUAGUUGGUAGGGUAACGGCCUACCAAGGCGAUGAUGCAUAGCCGAGUUGAGAGACUGAUCGGCCACAUUGGGACUGAGACACGGCCCAAACUCCUACGGGAGGCAGCAGUAGGGAAUCUUCCACAAUGGACGCAAGUCUGAUGGAGCAACGCCGCGUGAGUGAAGAAGGGUUUCGGCUCGUAAAGCUCUGUUGUUGGUGAAGAAGGACAGGGGUAGUAACUGACCUUUGUUUGACGGUAAUCAAUUAGAAAGUCACGGCUAACUACGUGCCAGCAGCCGCGGUAAUACGUAGGUGGCAAGCGUUGUCCGGAUUUAUUGGGCGUAAAGCGAGUGCAGGCGGCUCGAUAAGUCUGAUGUGAAAGCCUUCGGCUCAACCGGAGAAUUGCAUCAGAAACUGUCGAGCUUGAGUACAGAAGAGGAGAGUGGAACUCCAUGUGUAGCGGUGAAAUGCGUAGAUAUAUGGAAGAACACCGGUGGCGAAGGCGGCUCUCUGGUCUGUUACUGACGCUGANNNUCGAAAGCAUGGGUAGCGAACAG